UACAGAGACUGCAAGCGUUAUUCGGAUUCACUGGGCGUAAAGGGUGCGCAGGCGGCCAAGUGUGUCAGGUGUGAAAUCCCGAGGCUUAACCUCGGAACUGCGCCUGAAACUACUUGGCUAGAGUACUGGAGAGGGUAACGGAAUUCACGGUGUGGCAGUGAAAUGCGUAGAUAUCGUGAGGAACACCAGAGGCGAAGGCGGUUACCUGGACAGUUACUGACGCUCAGGCACGAAAGCGUGGGGAGCAAAAGGG
Molecule: ribosomal RNA, 253 nt
Filed under: uncultured bacterium
Lineage: Bacteria
Description: partial 16S ribosomal RNA
Rfam family: Bacterial small subunit ribosomal RNA
Source: RNAcentral